AGAGUUUGAUCCUGGCUCAGAUUGAACGCUGGCGGCAUGCCUUACACAUGCAAGUCGAACGGCAGCACGGGAGCAAUCCUGGUGGCGAGUGGCGAACUGGUGAGUAAUACAUCGGAACGUGCCCAGUCGUGGGGGAUAACUACUCGAAAGAGUGGCUAAUACCGCAUACGACCUGAGGGUGAAAGCGGGGGAUCGCAAGACCUCGCGCGAUUGGAGCGGCCGAUGUCAGAUUAGCUAGUUGGUGGGGUAAAGGCCUACCAAGGCUACGAUCUGUAGUUGGUCUGAGAGGACGACCAGCCACACUGGGACUGAGACACGGCCCAGACUCCUACGGGAGGCAGCAGUGGGGAAUUUUGGACAAUGGGCGCAAGCCUGAUCCAGCAAUGCCGCGUGCAGGAAGAAGGCCUUCGGGUUGUAAACUGCUUUUGUCAGGGAAGAAAUCCUCUGGGUUAAUACCUCGGGGGGAUGACGGUACCUGAAGAAUAAGCACCGGCUAACUACGUGCCAGCAGCCGCGGUAAUACGUAGGGUGCGAGCGUUAAUCGGAAUUACUGGGCGUAAAGCGUGCGCAGGCGGCUUUGCAAGACUCAAGGUGAAAUCCCCGGGCUCAACCUGGGAACUGCCUUUGUGACUGCAAGGCUAGAGUACGGCAGAGGGAGAUGGAAUUCCGCGUGUACAGUGAAAUGCGUAAUAUGCGGAGGAACACCGAUGGCGAAGGCAAUCUCCUGGGCCUGUACUGACGCUCAUGCACGAAAGCGUGGGGAGCAAACAGGAUUAAUACCCUGGUAGUCCACGCCCUAAACAUGUCACUGGUUGUUGGACGGUUGCUGUCAACAACUAACCUUGACUUGACCGCCUGGGGGGAGUCGGCCCAAGGUGAAAUCAAAGGAAUUGACGGGGACCCGCCAAGCGGUGGAUGAUGUGGUUUAAUUGGAUGCAACGCGAAAAACCUUACCUACCCUUGACAUGCUAGGAAUCUUGCAGAGAUGUGAGAGUGCUCGAAAGAGAACCUAGACACAGGUGCUGCAUGGCCGUCGUCAGCUCGUGUCGUGAGAUGUUGGGUUAAGUCCCGCAACGAGCGCAACCCUUGUCAUUAGUUGCUACGAAAGGGCACUCUAAUGAGACUGCCGGUGACAAACCGGAGGAAGGUGGGGAUGACGUCAGGUCCUCAUGGCCCUUAUGGGUAGGGCUACACACGUCAUACAAUGGCCGGUACAGAGGGUUGCCAACCCGCGAGGGGGAGCUAAUCCCAGAAAACCGGUCGUAGUCCGGAUCGUAGUCUGCAACUCGACUGCGUGAAGUCGGAAUCGCUAGUAAUCGCGGAUCAGCUUGCCGCGGUGAAUACGUUCCCGGGUCUUGUGCACACCGCCCGUCACACCAUGGGAGCGGGUUCUGCCAGAGGUAGUUAGCCUAACCGCAAGGAGGGCGAUUACCACGGCAGGGUUCGUGACUGGGGUGAAGUCGUAACAAGGUAACCGUA
Molecule: ribosomal RNA, 1479 nt
Filed under: uncultured bacterium
Lineage: Bacteria
Description: bacterial SSU rRNA
Rfam family: Bacterial small subunit ribosomal RNA
Source: RNAcentral